GCCGGACAGAGAGGAGGUACGACGUGGUUUCAGCAACAGGUGAGUGACCGUGACCUUAUCUCCGAAGGCGACAGCUUUGAAAACAUGGGUGUGUACCUGGAAAAGGCCGUGUCGCUCUCUGUACUCCUGCAGAAGCAAACUGGCGUGCGUCCGCUGUACUUUGGCUGCAACCUUCGUCGCCCGACGCCACCACCUCCGACCUCUGCUCCUACGGUGUGUGCAACGCCACGCUCGUCAUGAAGUGCAUACUGGAAAAGGUUGUUAACAUGUCCAGUGGGCUGCGCUCCUGACAGUGGCGCCACCUUCCCCCCUGCACUUAAGAAAGCAGUGCGUGGCAGUACGUAGCUGAGUGUGGUUUAGGAUUGAUGUGUGCCGCUAACAGUGAGGGAAGGAAUCUUGAGAAAAGGCAAACACUAGUCACAACCAGCAAGUGUAUGCUCCACCAGUCCCCCAAGCCCCCUCAGCACUACCUCUCCGCCUGCUGUGCCUCCACCUCAACAGGGAUGGGGUCAGCAGGAGGACUGUAUGUGGCAUGUGACUUGCUCCUGCUGCAGCCCCUCACAGUGGUCCUCUUCACUCUGCCGGGUCACAGGUCAAUGCACGGCUUGCUCUUGUGUCAGUGUGGAUUGGCUGGAGAAAUGGUCAUUUACAGUGGAUGAGAGGAUGGGGCAGUGUCUCCUGGAGCUGUGAGAGGUGAUGGAGGUGAUACGAUACCUUGAGUACACUCAGGACCUGCAUGCAACACCACCUCAUGCGGACACCUUCUCCAUUGACCUUGUAAUGUUUGUUAGCAAGCUGGUGGAGUCACAGGACCAGGAGCAGAGGUCCUGAUGGUGCUGGAUUCCUGCAGGAAGAGGAUAGAAUUCUACAGCAUGCCAGUCAAGAUAAAGGACACUCCACCACUGCCCGACAAUGGAGAGUAGCAAGAGCAUGUAGUUUCAAGGUCAUCUUCUCCCAAAAGCAAAGCAGAACCUCUCUACCAAGGGUUAUUAGGUGACGUGUCUGAGUAAGACCAAGAAGACUGAAGAGCAGAGCAUUGCACUUGUUGGUUUAGAGGAAGAAAACACUAAGCUCAAAAGCAGUGUGCAGCAGAUGGUGGGCUUUGUGUAUAAGAUCAAAGAUAGCUAUGAUGCUGCAGAGAAGAUACACCUACAAAUAGAGGAAUAGCAACAGGAGUGGGAGGCAAAGGUGGUCAGUGUCAGUAAAGACCACAGCCACAUCCAGGAGGAACUGCAGAAAACUGAGGGAUCCUUCUUUGAACUUGUGAGAAAGUCAAACAAGUUACUCAUGAGAAGAAUAAUUAUGUUGAGUACAACUGUGCUUUCAGUACUAUGCAGGAGAAACAUGAAAAGGCUCAAGAGGAACACAUGAACAAGAGAUGAAGAAAGCAUCAGGCAUAAUUAAACAUGCUGAAUUGAAGAUCUUUCUCUCACAGACUCUGUAACCAAGAAAGAUGCAGAGAUGAAGAGACACCCCACUCUUUUGGAAGACCUCACAGGGAACAUAAGAGGUUUAAGAACAAAGUAUGAAAGUGCAGAGGAUGAUGAACUAGAAAAAAAAAAUACAAGGCAUUAAGAAUGUUUUGGAAGAAGUUUAAGAAAGAAGCUUGCUUGUGGAUCCAAGGAGCCAGCAACUUAGAAGAAAUUGGCACCAAAGAAACAAUUAAAGCAGAAGAUGUGAAGAUAGGUGUGGUGAUGGUGAGGAUCCUGUGAUGCAGUAUUAAUACAUUGGAGGACAGGAUUCACCUCAACCAAGGCAGGAAUGAAAUAUGGAUGACGACUGGCCAAGUGGAUGAGGGCAAGGAGGUUUACUGUGAAGAGACAUGACAAGGAGGACCCUCAGACAACAGUACACAAGAGGAGAAACUAACAAGGAAAAUGGAGUUGAAGCUGUGAUGCCUGCAGUAGUGGUAGGAAUCCGAAGAUAACCAUGAAAUAUUAAUAAUUACGUGGAGUACAAGAGGAUGAGAAGAGUACUAGUAACAAAGUUCAACAGUAGUGAAUGGCCAACAGCAGGAGGAACAGGAACAUGACCUCAACCUGGAUCAGACCUUCAGUGAUAGAUACCCUAUUCUGUACAAGGGAUGUGUAGUUCAGACCUUCAGUGAUAGAUAGCACACUAUUCUGUACAAGGGAUGUGUAGUUCACUUUAUUACAGAUAGCAACAC
RNAcentral lists this long non-coding RNA (2167 nucleotides) under Portunus trituberculatus (swimming crab). RNAcentral's name for it is "uncharacterized LOC123502682, transcript variant X1". Lineage: Eukaryota; Metazoa; Arthropoda; Malacostraca; Decapoda; Portunidae. The record is from RNAcentral.